Molecule: ribosomal RNA, 365 nt
Filed under: uncultured bacterium
Lineage: Bacteria
Description: bacterial SSU rRNA
Rfam family: Bacterial small subunit ribosomal RNA
Source: RNAcentral
AUUGAACGCUGGCGGCAUGCCUUACACAUGCAAGUCGAACGGCAGCACGGGAGCAAUCCUGGUGGCGAGUGGCGAACGGGUGAGUAAUAUAUCGGAACGUGCCCGGUCGUGGGGGAUAACGUAGCGAAAGCUACGCUAAUACCGCAUACGAUCUACGGAUGAAAGCGGGGGAUCGCAAGACCUCGCGCGAUUGGAGCGGCCGAUAUCAGAUUAGGUAGUUGGUGAGGUAAAGGCUCACCAAGCCGACGAUCUGUAGCUGGUCUGAGAGGACGACCAGCCACACUGGGACUGAGACACGGCCCAGACUCCUACGGAGGCAGCAGUGGGGAAUUUUUGGACAAUGGGCGCAAGCCUGAUCCAGCAAU